UACGAAGGGGGCUAGCGUUGUUCGGAAUCACUGGGCGUAAAGCGCACGCAGGCGGAUUGAUAAGUCAGGGGUGAAAUCCCGGAGCUCAACUUCGGAAUUGCCUUUGAUACUGUCUGUCUUCGAGUUCGGGAGAGGUUGGCGGAAUUCCUAGUGUAGAGGUGAAAUUCGUAGAUAUUCGCAAGAACACCGGUGGCGAAGGCGGCCAACUGGACCAUCACUGACGCUGAGGCGCGAAAGCGUGGGGAGCAAACAGG
Molecule: ribosomal RNA, 254 nt
Filed under: uncultured bacterium
Lineage: Bacteria
Description: partial 16S ribosomal RNA
Rfam family: Bacterial small subunit ribosomal RNA
Source: RNAcentral